Molecule: transfer RNA, 67 nt
Filed under: Macaca leonina (Northern pig-tailed macaque)
Lineage: Eukaryota; Metazoa; Chordata; Mammalia; Primates; Cercopithecidae
Description: tRNA-Tyr
Rfam family: tRNA
About the family: Transfer RNA (tRNA) molecules are approximately 80 nucleotides in length.
Source: RNAcentral
GGUAAAAUGGCUGAAUAAGCAUUAGGCUGUAAAUCUAAAGAUGGAGGUCUANGUCCUCCUUUUACCA